Molecule: ribosomal RNA, 273 nt
Filed under: uncultured prokaryote
Description: partial 16S ribosomal RNA
Rfam family: Bacterial small subunit ribosomal RNA
Source: RNAcentral
UACAUAGGGGGCGAGCGUUAUCCGGAAUUAUUGGGCGUAAAGCGUGCGUAGGCGGUUUGUUAAGUUCGAUGUAAAAUCCCACAGCUUAACUGUGGAGGGUCAUUGGAAACUGGCAAGCUAGAGUACGGUAGAGGUAAGUGGAAUUCCAAGUGGAGCGGUGGAAUGCGUAGAUAUUUGGAGGAACACCAGUGGCGAAGGCGGCUUACUGGGCCGGAACUGACGCUGAGGCACGAAAGCGUGGGGAGCAAACAGGAUUAGAAACCCUAGUAGUCC